GAUGAACGCUGGCGGCGUGCCUAAUACAUGCAAGUCGAGCGAACGGACGAGAAGCUUGCUUCUCUGAUGUUAGCGGCGGACGGGUGAGUAACACGUGGAUAACCUACCUAUAAGACUGGGAUAACUUCGGGAAACCGGAGCUAAUACCGGAUAAUAUUUUGAACCGAAUGGUUCAAAAGUGAAAGACGGUCUUGCUGUCACUUAUAGAUGGAUCCGCGCUGCAUUAGCUAGUUGGUAAGGUAACGGCUUACCAAGGCAACGAUGCAUAGCCGACCUGAGAGGGUGAUCGGCCACACUGGAACUGAGACACGGUCCAGACUCCUACGGGAGGCAGCAGUAGGGAAUCUUCCGCAAUGGGCGAAAGCCUGACGGAGCAACGCCGCGUGAGUGAUGAAGGUCUUCGGAUCGUAAAACUCUGUUAUUAGGGAAGAACAUAUGUGUAAGUAACUGUGCACAUCUUGACGGUACCUAAUCAGAAAGCCACGGCUAGCUACGUG
This 497-nucleotide ribosomal RNA is filed under the name uncultured bacterium. RNAcentral describes it as "partial 16S ribosomal RNA". It matches the Rfam family "Bacterial small subunit ribosomal RNA", at positions 28 to 507 of the family's 1533-position model. The record is from RNAcentral.